This 33154-nucleotide long non-coding RNA is filed under the name Citrus x clementina. Its description in RNAcentral is "Citrus clementina (C. clementina) long non-coding RNA (CCLE_LNC000502)". The record is from RNAcentral. Lineage: Eukaryota; Viridiplantae; Streptophyta; Magnoliopsida; Sapindales; Rutaceae.
AAUAUUACCACAGACCAACAAGCUCUUCUUGCCCUGAAAGAUCAUAUAACUUAUGAUCGAACCAACCUUUUUGCCCAUAAUUGGACCUCGAAUACCUCUGUUUGUACCUGGAUUGGCAUCGCUUGUGAUGUCAAUAGCCAUAGAGUCACAGCCUUGGAUAUUUCUCAAUUCAAUCUACAAGGCACCAUCCCUCCUCAACUUGGAAACCUCUCUUCACUCACAACGCUUAAUCUUAGUCAUAACAAGCUUUCUGGAAGCGUUCCCUCCUCCAUCUACACCAUGCAUACGCUAAAAUUUCUUGACUUCACUGAUAACCAGCUCUCUGGUUCAGUGUCUUCCUUCGUCUUCAACAUGUCUUCAAUAUUAGACAUUCGUUUGACCAAUAACAGACUUUCUGGUGAGCUUCCGAAAAAUAUUUGCAACUAUCUUCCUCAUUUGAAAGCCCUUUUUUUGGACAAAAACAUGUUUCAUAGCAAAAUUCCUUCUGCUUUAUCAAAGUGCAAACAACUGCAACAAUUAAAUUUGCAGUUCAAUAAUUUAUCCGGUGCAAUACCAAAAGAAAUCGGCAACUUGACUAGGCUCAAAGGGAUAUAUCUCGGCGCCAACAAACUCCACGGUAUGUUCAUAAUACUAUGUAAAUAUUUUAAUUUCUCACUUGUUAUCUUUCUUGACUACUUUAGACAAGAUCUUUUAACUGAGAUUUUUUGCAUCUAUGUUAAUUUACCAGGUGAGAUACCCCACGAAAUCGCUAAUCUUCGAAAUCUAGAGGUUUUAGUGCUUGGAAUGAACAACCUAGUUGGUGUGUUACCAGCUCCAAUCUUCAACAUGUCAACACUGAAGGUGAUUAUCCUCAUGAAUAACUCUCUCUCCGGAAGUCUUCCAUCAAGAAUAGACCUUUCACUUCCAACUGUUGAGUUUCUUGAGUUGUCACAUAAUAGAUUUUCUGGAACCAUUCCUAGUUCCAUCACCAAUGCUUCUAAGCUCACCGUUCUAGCGUUGGGAGAUAACAAAUUUUCGGGCUUCAUUCCAAACACAAUUGGUAAUUUAAGAAACCUUGAGAGGCUCAGCUUGCCUAAUAAUUACUUGAAAUCUUCAACCUCAAAAUUGAGCUUUCUUUCCUCUUUGGCAAAUUGCAAGAAAUUAAGAGACAUAGUCUUAAUAGGCAAUCCACUUGACGGCUUCCUUCCAAGUUCAAUAGGAAAUCUUUCUAAGUCUUUGGAAACACUUGUCAUCGCCAAUUGCAGUAUUAGUGGCAACAUUCCUCAAGCAAUUAGCAAUUUAAGCAACUUGUUGACCUUAGUAUUAGAAGGAAAUAAAUUAACUGGACCAAUUCCAAUUACAUUUGGCCGACUGCAGAAACUCCAAGGCUUAUAUCUUGCAUUCAAUAAGUUGGUAGGUUCAUUCCCAGAUGAGCUUUGCCAUCUAGCAAGGCUGGAUCAAUUGGUCUUAUUUGGCAAUAAGCUUUCAGGAUCUAUACCUUCAUGCCUAAGUAAUCUCACUUCUCUAAGAUCUCUCUACUUAGGGUCCAAUAGGUUUACUUCUGUUAUUCCCUCAACUUUCUAGAGCCUAAAAUACAUCUUGUUCUUUGACUUUUCAUCAAAUUUCUUGGUUGGUACUCUUUCUUUCGACGUAGGUAAUUUGAAGGUGCUUCAAGGAAUAAAUUUAUCAGAAAAUAACUUAUCGGGUGAUAUGCCAGCCACAAUUGGAGGACUGAAAGAUCUUCAAUUUAUGGACCUAGCAUAUAAUAGAUUGGAAGGCCCAAUUCCUGAAUCAUUUGGUGACUUGACAAGUUUGGAGGUUUUGAAUUUAUCAAAAAAUAAAAUCUCUGGGUCUAUUCCAACAUCCAUGGAGAAACUCAUUUACCUUCUAGAGUUAAAUCUCUCUUUCAAUAAACUUGAAGGUGAGAUUCCUAGUGGAGGAAUUUUUACCAACUUCACAGCUGAGUCAUUUAUGGGAAAUGAGUUAUUGUGUGGUUUACCAAAUCUUCAAGUCCAACCAUGCAAACUUAGCAAGCCUAGGACAGAACAUAAAUCAAGGAAAAAGAUACUUCUCAUUGUGAUUGUUUUGCCAUUGAGUAUUGUUUAGGAGAAAUACGUCGACGAGACCAGGCAUGGUGAGCGGAUAUCUGAUGGCAGAGUUCUGCGAACCGGUAUGUCCCGUAAAAGCCUGGUGCGCGGGGGAACAGGAACAGAAAUAUCCUGCUCACCCACGAGCACGUCAUCCACGAGGCCAAUUUCCUGUAAGAGGCAUAAGGCCAUUCCGGCUAGAGGUCGAGAGGCGAGGAGACCCGGUCGACGGCAGUCGGCAAGACGGGCUCCCCAGCCCGAGAAUCUAGGUACGACAGCCACGCUUUUCCCAGAACCGUGGCGUAACACGCAAGAUCUCACAGAACCACGACAGCCACGCUUUCCCCAGAACCGUGGCGUAACACGCAAGAUUCCGCGUUUGCCCAUAACGCAGCAGUCAGAGUCCCAUACUGUCUGGGAAAAAGCAAAAGACUGGGAUUCAGGGGAAGCCUAUAAAAAGGUAGCCAACGAAGGUAAAAGAGUUAGCAUUUUUGAGAUUAAAAAAGAAAUUCAAAAGAAGAGAAAACCACGAAAAAGCCAUAAGAUCUGUGGCGAGCGUUCUCGGAACCUUCAUAUCUGACUUGAGCGUUGGAGGGUUUGCGCCGGGAAAACAACCGGCGUACUCUGACUUGUCUGUGUGCGCAGGAACCUCUGGAGAAGAAGCCUCACGAGAAGACCUUCUGGUCGUGAAGAAGUUGAUCGGGCAGAAAUCCUGGUCGUAGAACGAGGAGAACUGGAAUCCCGCAUCAACAAUUCCAACCCCAGUGGUUCGAGUGACAGUUGAUAACACAAACGUUGGUGACAGAAUCUGGUCGGUCCAAGGGCGAGCAGAUUUCCGCAUCAACAUUUUGGCGCCGUCUGUGGGAAACAGAACAAAAAGCUUCUGUUGAUAGCAAGGAGAGGGGUGAAGCAAGUGAAAAGCGAUGGAGACAGGAGGAAGUAGUGCACAAGGGGGUGAUAGGAGGCUUAACGAUUCCGUGACGCUGAGGGAGAUAGUCAGUGAGGCACGGGAAAAAGUCAUGUUCGACCGGAUGGAACGGAUGGAAAAGCAGAUGGAAACCUUGACAACCAUCCUGCAUGAGCUGCGGAGCGAGCGAGGGGUAACCCAAGAGGGAAGGGUGAGAGGCGGUGGAGUGGCACCAGGUCUUGAUAGUGCGGGGAGAAGUCAAACCACUGGGAGAUUCGGUGGUGAGAGGGGUAACGUACCUCUGCGGGGAGAAUUUCAUAGAGAACAAGAGCAGUCCCCGGCAAGACAGACUAGUGACGAGGACGACGGGGUGGUGAAUGCAGAGGAAACAGAGUUGAGGCAACACGUGCAUGAUGUAGAGCAAGAGCGGGAUCAAGUUGCAUCACGUGACCCUGGUCGUGCAGUGCAGCUGGAGGAGGAAGUGCGCAGACUAGCGCAGAUAAUUGACGACAUGCAAGGAAGGAACAGAGCCCUUGGUUGGAGGAUAAUGCUGGACGGAAAUCGCCGCUCGCAGCAGAGAUCAUGAGGGCAGUUAUUCCGAGAGAUUUCCGCCUCCCAGACCUCAGAUACUCGGGAAGAACUGAUCCGCUGGUGCACAUAGAGCGCUUCAACGACAUAACCGGGGUACAAGGAUUAUCUUGAUCCCAAAGGUGCAGGGUGUUCUCACUCUCCCUUGAGGGACGUGCACGAGAAUGGUACAGGAAACUUCCUCGGGGCAGUAUUAAAACCUUCGAGCAGAUGUGCCAGGAAUUCGCGGAGCAGUUUAGUGGGGCAAUGGCACCGGGGGAUGACAUGAUGGAGCUGAAAAGCAUGAAACAGGGGGAGCAAGAAACCCUUCGGGAAUUCAUCAAGAGGUUUCAUCGGGCUGUCCUCGACUUGGGGGCCUUCAACCACCCUCAGGCGUUAAGGGGAUUGAAGGAAGGGGUGAAGAUAGGAAGGCUGUGGUACAAUCUGAGAAGCCCAGCGAUUCAAACGUAUGCAGCCGCAUACGAACAGGCUAAGAGAGACAUCGAGAUUGAAGAGGAGAAGGCUGCACAGAUUAAGACAGACCAGUUAGAAGGGUUGGGGAGGAAAGAGAAGAAAGCCUUACCGGGGAAUGGGCCGAUCAGGAGGAGGGACCACCAGGCCUCCGGUGGUGGAGCAGGAGGUCGGGUGACUGCUUACCAGCCUCAUCAGAGGCCACCACAGUAUCAGCGCAGCAGGGCACAACCUCCUCGUUCCCCAGCUAGGGAGCCUUGGAAAAGGCAUGAGUCGGCAUCUGGUGGUCUUCCCCACGAUAGCAGAGCGAGUAGACCAGAAGUACUUCCACCGCCCCCAACUCAGAGCGGGGCAAACAAAGAAAGAGCAGUGCACCUGAUCGACCAGAACCCGGACUAUGGAUGGUACACUUCCUUGAAGAUGUCCCUGGAUGAGGUGUACAAGGCCAUAAAGGAUCGAGGGCUGCUGCACCCCCCUACACCAAUAACGAAGCUACCCAACAGGAGGGAUAGAGGACGUUAUUGUAAGUUCCAUGGCACUCAUGGCCACACCACAGCAGAGUGUAGAGAUCUCAAGACCCAGGUCGAAGAUUUGGUGAGAAAUCGGUACCUGGACGAGUUUAUAGAUGGGACCUUCCCGAUGGAGGCCACAACAGGUGAAGGGGAGCAGAGUGGUAGAAACUUGAGGCGCGAGCAGCCCGCAGUAAGGAUGAUAGCUGGGGGCCCAACAUUGGCCGGAGAUUCCAACAGAUCGAGAAAAAAUUAUGCUAGGUACGCCAUGACCAGUAAAGAGGUACUCUUCAGCACCCCAGCAGCCAAACGAGCAAGAGUCAGGCAAGUGCCGAUCAUGUGGACGGAUGAGGAUGAGGAAGGGAUUCUAUACCCCCACGAGGAUGCUUUAGUCAUCAAGGCUACUGUCGCUAGCAAGAAGUUUGAUCGGAUACUGAUUGAUACGGGGAGCUCAGUUGAUGUGUUAUUUAGGUCAACCCUGGAAGAGAUGGGAAUAGCCGACCGGAAGUUGGAAUACACCAAUACCUCCUUGAAGGGAUUCGGAGGAGGGAAGCUGGUCCCUCUGGGCGUGGUCGAGCUGCCUAUCACAAUUGGGAGCUCCCCGACCGAAAGAACAAUGAUACUGGACUUUGUCGUAGUGGAUGAAGAAAGUCCUUACCAGAUGAUUCUAGGUCGGCCGUUUUUAAGGAUGAGCAAAGCGGUGUUGUCCAACCAUUAUCUGGCUCUGAAGUACCGGGUGAACGGGGUAGUAGGAGUGGUACGAAGAGACCAGAGGAUCGCAAGAAGCUGCUACUCCUCGGCAGUAAGGGAAGCACUGCAGAUAACAUCCCUCGAUACCCGAGUGGAAAACAAGAAGGGCAGACAAGAACCUGUAGAGGAUCUGGAAACAGUAAGCCUGGGACCAGAGAACCCGGGAAAGACGAUCAGAAUCGGGUCGAGACUUAAGGGAGAGCAAAAGCAGGAGUUGGUGAAAUGCUUACAGGCUCAUGCUGACGUAUUUGCUUGGACACAUGAAGACAUGCCCGGGAUUGACCCUGAGGUAGCAUGUCAUAAGCUGGCAAUAAAGAAAGGUGCCCGGGCAGUAAGGCAGAAGAGGAGGUGCUUCAACCAGGAGAGGUAUGAGGCUAUAAAUGGCGAGGUGGAGAAGCUCUUGAGAGCAGGGUUCAUUCGGGAAGUCAGUUAUCCUGAGUGGAUAUCAAAUGUGGUGUUGGUAAAGAAGGCAAACGGCAAGUGGAGGAUGUGUGUGGAUUUCACAGACCUCAAUAAGGCGUGCCCAAAAGACAGCUUCCCUUUACCAAAGAUCGAUCAGCUAGUAGAUUCAACGACUGGACAUGGUCUGCUUAGCUUCAUGGACGCGUUCUCGGGAUACAACCAGAUCCCCAUGUACGAGCAGGAUGAGGAGAGCACGGCCUUCAUCACUAACCAAGGUUUGUUCUGUUACAGGGUAAUGCCAUUCGGUCUCAAAAAUGCUGGGGCCACCUAUCAAAGGCUGGUGAACAAAGUCUUUAAGCCGUUGAUUGGGAAAACCAUGGAGGUGUACGUGGAUGACAUGAUCACCAAAUCCAAAAUCCCGAAGGAACAUGUCAGACACCUCGAGGAGACAUUCGAGCUUUUGAGGAAGUAUAAGAUGAAGCUCAACUCGGAGAAGUGUGCUUUUGGGGUCGAGUCAGGGAAAUUCCUUGGAUUCAUGGUGAGCCAUAGGGGGAUUGAAGCAAAUCCCGAGAAAAUCCAGGCGAUUGUGCAAAUGACGUCUCUUUGUAACCUGAAGGAGAUGCAGAGCCUCACGGGGAGGUUGGCGGCGUUGAGCAGAUUCAUCUCCAGGGCUACAGAUAAGUGUCAGCCAUUCUUUCAAGUGAUAAUGAGGGGAAAGAAAACAGAAUGGACCCCAGAAUGCGAGGAAGCCUUCCGGAACUUGAAGCAAUACUUGCAGCAAGCUCCGCUGCUGUCCACACCAAGGGAUGGGGACAAGUUAUAUCUGUAUUUGGCGAUAUCGGAUCGGGCCGCCAGUUCUGUUCUGGUGAGAGAGGAAGAAGGAGUUCAGUAUCCGAUAUACUACACCAGCAAGGCCCUGCUCGACGCUGAAACCAGAUACCCGCCGUUGGAGAAAUGGGCACUUGCCCUUGUGGUUGCUGCUUGGAAGUUGAGGCCAUAUUUUCAAGCAUUCUCGGUCUCGGUAAUAACAAACCAGCUAUUGCGUCAAACUCUGCACAAGCCAGAUGCCUCUGGUCGGCUCGUCAAGUGGGCUGUAGAGCUGAGCGAGUUCGACAUAGAAUAUAAACCCCGCGCUGCGAUAAAAGCCCAGGCAAUGGCCGAUUUCAUAGCUGAAUUCACAGAGCCCGAAGUAUGCUUAGAUCAACAAGAUGCGGUUAUAGGCAAUGAUGAAACUCAAGUAUGGCAGGUGUCUGUGGAUGGGUCAUCAGGGGAGCGGGGUUCAGGAGCAGGGAUUGUCUUGGAAGGCCCAGAGGGGGAGGAGAUUUCUUAUGCUGUAAAGUUGGAAUUUGCAGCCACGAAUAACCAGGCAGAGUAUGAAGCCUUGAUAGCAGGUUUGGAAUUGGCUAAGGCCGUGAAAGCAGACAGAGUUAAGAUCAGAACUGAUUCCCAGCUGGUUGCGAAUCAUGUCAGUGAAAGAUUCCAACCAAGAGAGGAGAAGAUGGAGCAGUACCUGAAGAUAGUCAGGCAGAUGAUGGGGAAGUUCGAAGCAGUGGAGGUGAUACAAAUCCCCAGGGAGCAGAAUAGUCGAGCAGACAUUUUGGCUAGGAUGGCAGCAGAAGCCGACCCAAAAAUGCCAAAGUCGGUCCCUCUGGAGGUGAAGUCCAGCCCAAGUAUCGAUCAGAAUGUGGGGGUGUUGCGGAUAGAACAAAAAUGCUCUUGGAGGGACCCGAUAGUCUCAUACCUUAGAGACGGGGUAUUACCACCAGAUAAGCUGCGAGCUCGCAAGAUUAGAGCCCAGGCUUCGAGAUACGCGAUGAUUGAUGGGGUACUGUAUCGGCGAGGAUAUACACUACCGUUCCUUCGGUGUUUGGAUGAGGACGACGCGGAUUACGUACUGAGAGAAGUACAUGAAGGAAUUUGCGGGAAUCAUUCUGGCGGGAGGUCCCUGGCCCACAAGGUUCUAAGGCAGGGAUAUUUCUGGCCGACAUUGCACCAGGAUGCGCAAGAGAAGACCAGGAGUUGUGUAAGCUGCCAGAGUUUUGCAAAUUUCUCUAACCAGCCACCAGAGAAGCUCACCUCCAUGACCUCCCCCUGACCAUUUGCUCAAUGGGGAAUUGAUCUGAUCGGCCCAUUGCCAAAGGCACGAGGAGCAGCAACACAUGCAAUAGUUGCUAUAGAUUACUUCACGAAGUGGAUAGAGGUAGAAGCCCUUAGCAGUAUCACAGAGAAGAAAACAACAGACUUUGUGUGGAGAAACCUGGUCUGUCGAUACGGGAUCCCUUAUGCCUUGGUAAUAGAUAAUGGCAGGCAGUUCGAUAAUCACAGCUUCAGGGAGUUCUGCCAGAACCUCGGGAUAGAGCUGAAGUAUUGCUCGCCUGCUCACCCUCAAUCGAAUGGACAAGUAGAAGCAGCCAACAAGACCAUCAAGAGACUUUUGAAAACCAGGCUUGGAGCAAAAAAGGGUGCGUGGGUUGACGAGCUGUCAGGUGUGCUAUGGGCAUACAGAACAACCCACAAAACCGCAACUGGGGAGACACCAUUCGCUUUGGCUUUCGGGCAUGAAGCGGUCGUGCCGGCUGAGAUAGGGACGACCACACACCGGACAGGUCAUUUCAAUGAGCAGGAGAACGACGAGCAGAUGUGUUUGAAUCUUGAUCUGCUAACGGAAAGGAGAGAGCAAGCAGCCGAGCGAUCAGCCAUUUACCAACAGAGGGUUGCUCGAUAUUAUAACUAGAAGGUGAACAUACGGCAAUUCAGGGUCGGAGACUGGGUACUGAGAAGAGUGAAUCAGAGCACCAAAGAUUCGACUCAAGGAGUGCUGGGACCGAAUUGAGAAGGGCCAUAUAGAGUCAAGCAGAUAGCGGGACCCGGAGCUUACAAGCUGGUUCGCACGGACGGCCACGAGGUGAAACGCCCAUGGAACGCAGCACACCUCCGAAAAUACUUCCAGUGAGACUUGUUGGCAUUUGAAAGCUAUUUUUGCUCAUGCUCAUUGUGGUUUAUCUUUCACGCUUUAUGUCCAAACAAUUUCAUGUAAGCCGAAUCCGGCCAUUAAUAGAACGUCGAGGAAUUUCUUUUGCUUGAAACCGAGGAAAUUAUCCAAGGCAUGCAAAGGCUCACCAAGUCUCAAAGCCUGUCUUAUGGCGAGACAGAAGCCAAGCAUGCCAGGAUCUGCUCGGCCACGAGAAGGCUAGCAGAAUCCCAAGCUUUGAAGAAAUUAUCCAAGGCAUGCAAAGGCUCACCAAGUCUCAAAGCCUGUCUUAUGGCGAGACAGAAGCCAAGCAUGCCAGGAUCUGCUCGGCCACGAGAAGGCUAGCAGAAUCCCAAGCUUUGAAGAAAUUAUCCAAGGCAUGCAAAGGCUCACCAAGUCUCAAAGCCUGUCUUAUGGCGAGACAGAAGCCGAGCAUGCCAGGAUCUGCUCGGCCACGAGAAGGCUAGCAGAAUCCCAAGCUUUGAAGAAAUUAUCCAAGGCAUGCAAAGGCUCACCAAGUCUCAAAGCCUGUUUUAUGGCGAGACAGAAGCCAAGCAUGCCAGGAUCUGCUCGGCCACGAGAAGGCUAGCAGAAUCCCAAGCUUUGAAGAAAUUAUCCAAGGCAUGCAAAGGCUCACCAAGUCUCAAAGCCUGUCUUAUGGCGAGACAGAAGCCAAGCAUGCCAGGAUCUGCUCGGCCACGAGAAGGCUAGCAGAAUCCCAAGCUUUGAAGAAAUUAUCCAAGGCAUGCAAAGGCUCACCAAGUCUCAAAGCCUGUCUUAUGGCGAGACAGAAGCCAAGCAUGCCAGGAUCUGCUCGGCCACGAGAAGGCUAGCAGAAUCCCAAGCUUUGAAGAAAUUAUCCAAGGCAUGCAAAGGCUCACCAAGUCUCAAAGCCUGUCUUAUGGCGAGACAGAAGCCAAGCAUGCCAGGAUCUGCUCGGCCACGAGAGGGCGAGCAGAAUCCCAAUCCUCGAAGAAUCCAAGGCAUGCAAAGGCUCGACAAAGUCUCAAAGCCUGUUUUAGGGCGAGGCAGAAGCCAAGCGUGCCAGGAUCUGCUCGACCGCGCGAAGGCGAGCCGAAUCCCAGGCAUUGAAGAAUCCCCUAAGGCAUGUGGCAAAACCAUGAGCCAAGCCAGAACCUGCUCGUCCAGACAAAGAUAAGUAGAUUCUCAACCGAAAAUUAAUUCGCACUUACAACACAAGAAAGUAAUCAAAAACCAUUUUUAUUAAUUUGUUAAUAACUAACAUAGGGGAUAAUCUUCAUGAACAUUGUUCGUUACAAUACAAGAGACACAUCAGGAAGAUGGUGGAUCAGUAAGCCCGGCAGCAUCGGUCGGCUGAACCUCCACAGGUGCAGGAGGGGUAUCACCCGUUGCGUCCGGGGGGGUGCUCGCCUCGCCAACAUCAGCAGGGAUUGCACGAGGAGGAGAGUCUUCCUCCUCGACCACGAUCGGCUCUACCCCACCGGCAUCUUCCUUGGCCGCCUCCUCGUCCAUGUGUUGAGCAACACCAGCUGCAAGGUCGUCCAUCUUCAGAUCAGGGUGUUGCUUCCUAAGGACGGCCAUGAUGCAACGAUAGGAAUGCCGAAGUCCCUAGUCGUACUGGUGGUCAGCCUCCCUCUCCAAGUUCUCGACCUGAGCUCGGUGGGAGUCGCGGAGAGAUUCGAGCUGAGCCUCAUACAUAGCCUUCUGCCUUUGCAGAUCCCCCUUGACCUUGGUGAGCUCCUCCUCGAGGGAAAUAGCUUUUGCUUGAGCAAGUGAUUCUUGCUCUAUCAGCUUCAGAUUCUUGAGAUUCAGCUCCCCUGCUUUCUUCUCGGCAACGUCAGCUCUGGUCGUCGCCGAUUGAAUAUCCUCCUUCAUCUUCCGGUCGUAGCGGCCAACCUUAGCCUUGUAAUAGGUGGUCAUGCAGCUGAGGUGGAAAGCGCUAUGCUGCAUGGCCCCCACCAGCUCACUCAAGGUGUGGCCAUCAAAGUCCUCCAGGUCCUUCUUGCUCACGAGUUUAGUUAACUCAUUGAGGUAAGGGACCAGGUGUUCUGCUCGGCUGUCAGGUAAGCGAGAUCGAGGCCCGACAGGAGGAGAAGAGGGAGCAGGAUCUGUGGCUGCUCCACUAGCUUCCCCGACUUUCACAGGAGCAGAAGGUAAAAUCUUCAAGGGUGGGACCUGCUGCACGAUGUUGGCCCGCUUUGCAGUAGGGGCGUCCUUACUCUGGUCCCUCUUCGUGGUUGGAGGUCGGGAACGUUUUCGGGUCAGAGCCCCAAUCACAGCGUCCUCCAUCCUAUGGCCAGGAAGUAUCAAGCGAGACUCGAGCAAGUUGUAUGUAGUUAACAGUUCUCGACUCGAGCAGGAAUUGGCUAGUACAGCCUCGACCCGUUUGAGCUGGUCAGGUCCAAGCGGGAAGUGGACACCCCAAGAAACUACAACACAAACAGACACUCGGUUAGAGACAAAAAAAAAAGGAAGAAAAGAGAGCAAGAACAAUUAUGGAUGCAAGACAUCUAGAGCGAGCAGGCAACCUGGGACCGUGAAACGGGGUGGGACGCGACAAUCCUUCCCGUCUAUUUGUGCAACUUGACCCCAAGGACCCCCAGCAAAAAAGAAUUUUCUCUUCCAAGUCCCACCACCACCGGUCGGAAGAUCGGUUAUGGGUUUCCGGCUCUUGGUGCUAGAUUGGAAGUAGUACCAGCCGGCAUCUUUGGGGCUGCUCUUUAGCUGGUACAGGUGCUUUACCUCAUCAACCGUGGGCUCGCUUUGGCAACAUCUGUCCCACAAGAUGAACAGACCAGAGAGCACUCUCCACCCAUUGGGAUUCAGCUGACCAGGAGCUAGAUUUAGCCCGUUAAGUAUCCGGGCAAAGUAGGGUUGCAAGGGACACCUCAGCCCGUACUUAAAGCUCUCUAGAAACAGGGUAACGUAUCCCCUGGGAGGCCGGCUGGGAGCAUUCUUCUUUCCUAGGACCUUGAGAGGUAUCUCACCAGGAAUGCUAUACCUAAGCCGGAGGUCAUUGAGCUCAUCAAACGAGGUCGUGCACGUCAUGUAAUCAAUGGCAUAAUCGCGCGACAAGGCUCUGCCUCCUACUGUACCCCGUUCUUCUGGUCGUGAUGUUCCAGAUGGAGACACCUCACCAGAGUCACCUUCCCCAUUCUCACUUAAGGUGUCCUCGGAGCCAGAAGAUCCCUCCUCGCCAUUGCUUCCGCUCGUGGAGGUUGUUUGGGGGGACAUCCUCCUAGCACUAGUCCCGACACUAAACCUGAUGGGUUCUAAGGGGAUCCCGGGGUCAAAAGCAGGAUCAGUGAGCAGACCGGGCAGGAAACUUAGUUCGUCGUCAUCAAUCUCAACGACUUUCUCCUUACCCUUCGACAUUCCCUAAGCUCUAACCACAACACCACCAACUACUACCCAAACAGAAGAGAAGAGAAAUUAUCUACAACUAUCCGAGACCAAGGAGAUAGAAGAAAUACCUGAAGUAAUGGUUCAGUCGGUGAAAGUCAGAGAUGGAGGCCUUUUAUGCCGGAACUUCUUUGCCGGAGAGACAGAGACGGAGACGGAGUGAAUGAUGAAUAUGGCGUUUGAGAGGAUUUGGUUUUCCUAAUGAGGACGGACUCUUGGGUUGCCAGCAUUUAACGGUGCCGAAUCCCGAGGGUCUCGUAACCGUCGGUUCGAAAUUCAAAUGGAGGGGGGGAUUUCUGCCACGUCACCUCGUCCGCAAUUAAAUGCGACAUGACUCUUGGCAGCCUUUUCCGAUCCCACGCGAGCGAGUACUAACGAGUUUCUACUGCUGGUCCACUACAUUACCCAACACCAGAAACUGGGGGACCGGUGUUUAGGAGAAAUACGUCGACGAGACCAGGCAUGGUGAGCGGAUAUCUGAUGGCAGAGUUCUGCGAACCGGUAUGUCCCGUAAAAGCCUGGUGCGCGGGGGAACAGGAACAGAAAUAUCCUGCUCACCCACGAGCACGUCAUCCACGAGGCCAAUUUCCUGUAAGAGGCAUAAGGCCAUUCCGGCUAGAGGUCGAGAGGCGAGGAGACCCGGUCGACGGCAGUCGGCAAGACGGGCUCCCCAGCCCGAGAAUCUAGGUACGACAGCCACGCUUUUCCCAGAACCGUGGCGUAACACGCAAGAUCUCACAGAACCACGACAGCCACGCUUUCCCCAGAACCGUGGCGUAACACGCAAGAUCUCACAGAACCACGACAGCCACGCUUUCCCCAGAACCGUGGCGUAACAGGCAAGAUUCCGCGUUUGCCCAUAACGCAGCAGUCAGAGUCCCAUACUGUCUGGGAAAAAGCGGAAGACUGGGAUUCAGGGGAAGCCUAUAAAACGGUAGCCAACGAAGGUAAAAGGGUUAGCAUUUUUGAGAUUAAAAAAGAAAUUCAAAAGAAGAGAAAACCACGAAAAAGCCAUAAGAUCUGUGGCGAGCGUUCCCGGAACCUUCAUAUCUGACUUGAGCGUCGGAGGGUUUGCGCCGGGAAAACAACCGGCGUACUCUGACUUGUCUGUGUGCGUAGGAACCUCUGGAGAAGAAGCCUCACGAGAAGACCUUCUGGUCGUGAAGAAGUUGAUCGGGCAGAAAUCCUGGUCAUAGAACGAGGAGAACUGGAAUCCUGCAUCAACAAUUCCAACCCCAGUGGUUCGAGUGACAGUUGAUAACACAAACGUUGGUGACAGAAUCUGGUCGGUCCAAGGGCGAGCAGAUUUCCGCAUCAACAAGUAUUGUUCUAGCAAUAGCAAUCACUCUAGCUCUCAAAUCUAAGCUUAUUGAAUGUAGAAAGGGAAGCACAGUGUUGUCAAAUGAUAGUAUCUUGUCAUCACAAGCAACGCUAAGAAGAUUUUCAUACUUAGAACUUUUACGAGCAACAAAUAAUUUUUCUGAAAACAACAUAAUUGGCAUAGGAGGUUUUGGUUCUGUUUACGGUGGAAGACUUGAAGAUGGGAUGAAGAUUGCAAUAAAAGUGUUUCACCAGCAAUGUGCAAGCGCAUUGAAGAGUUUUGAGGCUGAAUGUGAAGUGUUAAAAAAUAUUCGCCAUCGAAACCUUAUCAAAGUUAUCAGCAGUUGCUCGAACGAUGACUUCAAAGCAUUAGUCCUAGAAUACAUGUCCAAUGGGAGCUUGGGGGAUUGGCUGCAUUCUAGCAAUUAUGUGUUUAAUAUAUUUCAGAGGUUGAACAUAAUGAUUGACGUUGCAUCAUCUUUAGAAUAUCUCCACUUCGAUCAUUCAACUGCUAUUAUUCAUUGUGACUUAAAGCCUAGUAAUGUAUUGUUGGACGAAAAUAUGGUUGCUCAUUUGAGUGAUUUUGGCAUAGCAAAGCUUUUAAGAGGAGAGGAUGAGUCUAUGAUGCGAACAAAAACCCUUGCCACUAUAGGUUAUAUGGCACCAGGUUUGCUUCAAACAACUUUUUUUUAGUUCAUUUUAAAUUUUCUAAAUCAUUGAUUUUUACGAUCCUCAUAUCAAAUUGUUACUGAUUAUUUAUCUAAUUGUGAAAUUAAUUUGAUUCAUAGAGUACGGCAUUGAAGGAGAAGUAUCUACAAAAAGUGAUGUUUACAGCUAUGGGAUUAUGUUGAUGGAAACUUUUACCAAGAAAAAACCCACAGAUGAAAUUUUUGUUGGAGAAUUGAGCUUAAAGCGUUAGGUUAAUGACUUGCUUCCUAAUUCAUUAGUGGAAGUUGUGGACAAAACUCUGCUAAGUGGAGAGGAAAAACUUUCUACAGCAAAGGAUCAAUGUCUGUUGUCUAUCUUUAUUUUAGCUCUGGAGUGUACAAUGGAAUCACCGGAAAAGAGGAUUAAUGCAAAAGAUAUUGUUACAGGAUUACUCAAGAUAAGAGACAUUGAGUAAAAGGAUUGGAAAUUUAAGUUAAUUUCGUUUGCUUUCAUUGAUAGUUAAAUAGAAUUCAUGUAAUAAGUGUAAGAACCUUAUAUCUUUUCCUUUGAUUUUUUUUCUUGAGAAAACUGUUGCAGUCAUCUUGUUUGCAUGGACAGAGUUGAUUUAGUUCUUCCAAGAAAUGCUACUGAUGAUCUUUGUUUUAUACUUUCUCUUUUUCUUUUUUUUGCAUGUGUUUAGGUAGAAUAGUGAUUUGGUUGCACUUUAAGAAGUCAAACUACACUAAAGAAUAUGAUUUAAUUUAUUAAACAAAACUUCAAGUUCAAGAAAAGUAUCUCAUUGCCCCCAAUGCUUUGGACACCUAUAUAUUGAAAGGUUUGUUGUCCUCAGCUUUUGUUUAGAGCAAAAGUUCGAGUCCCAUAAAGGCUCAAACAUUCCUUUCCUUCAUCCCGAGGGCGCCUUCUGUCCUCUGUUUUCUAUUUCCACACACAAAUAGCAAAAAGAAAUUAGAAUGACAACUGGGACAUAUAUAAGAGUGAAAUAAUUAAAAAAAUUAUGCUUUUUUGUUUGUCGUGUUAAAAUCGUAAGUACCGAAGUACUAUGAAAGAGAUUAAUUUACAGAAACUGAAGCCAAGGGUUAAAAAAAAAGUGCAAAGAGAAUAAUUGUAUUGGUAGCACAAUGUCAUAUUCAUACAGAGAUCAAGUAUAUUAUUUACGGCUAGUAAGGACUAAGAAUUAAUUGUACACUAUUGUUUUAUUCUACAAUCAAUCUUGACCCUUGAUGCUUGGCUCUCAAUCUUGUCCAUUGAUCUUCUCUGAUUUUGGAGACUUGAAGACCUUUCAGUAUCAUGCCUUGUUGUUGGUGUCUUCCAUGCUGUAGAACCGUCGACUUGCCAGGAAUUUGUUCAUUGAUGCAUUUUAUCAAACAGUUGGCCUGCUCAUAGCAAACAGCUCCUGUGUUAACUCCCCCUCCAUAGCUCAACUAUUUGGGAAGACAAUUAAUUGAGCUUGUUUCACAAUUAUAUGAAUCUGAAAGUUCAAGUUCAAUUCGAUGUUAUUGUUGGAGAAUUAACAAAUAAAACACACUAUUUUAUUUCUUCAACAACACUCCUCACCAAUUACAACUCUUAUUUUUCACUCUCUACACCUUAGAGAUUUUGCUACUUCACUUGAUGUUUAAACCAAAUGGGAGAGGGGGUAUUUAUACAUGAAACAAACUAAUCACAACCAUUCAUUUAUUCAACUAAUAAACAAAUCCUCACCAUCCAUUAAAACCUACUACUCACCUACUUCACCAACCACACCUAACACAAAUAAUUCAAACCUCACCAACCAUACCUACUCAUGGAACCUUCCAUGAGUUGGGCUUGAUUUAUUCAUCUUGGAUCAAGUUUAUGAUCCAACAUCUCCCCUUAAAUUUGAUCCUGUGACACCAAGCAAACUUCUGAAUCUUACAAAGUCUUCUUGCUUGAGUGGCUUAGUGAAGAUAUCAGCUGCUUGAUCUUGUGAUUUUACAUACUUGAUUUGCACUUCUUUUUUUGCAAUACACUCUUUUAUGAAAUGAUAGCAAGUGUCUAUGUGUUUACUUCGAUCAUGAAAGACUGGAUUCUUGGAUCGGGCAAUUGCUAAUUUGUUAUCAACACAAAUCUCGAUUGGCUCUUUUUGUGCCAAACUCAACUCCUUCAGCAAAUUUCUGAGCCAAAUUGCAUGACAAACACUUGAUGUGGCAGCUACAUAUUCAGCUUCACAGGUGGAUAGCGUGACAAUUGGUUGCUUCUUUGACAUCCAUGUGAAAGCAGUAUCUCCCAUGAAGAACACAAAUCAUGUUGUGCUCUUUCGAUCAUCUACAUCUCCACCCCAAUCACUAUCGCUAUAUCCAAUAAGCUUGUAGUCAUUAGAAAAUGAGUAUAACAAGCCGAAAUUAAUUGUACCUUUGAUGUAGCGAAGGAUUCUUUUUGCAGCUUUAAAAUGGGUGGUCUUUGGAUUCUUCAUGUAUCGGCUCACAAGUCCAACAGCAUAAAGGAUAUCUGGUCUUGUGCAUGUCAAAUAACGUAAGCUUCCAACCAAACUUUUAAAGAAUGUUGGAUCUAUAUCUUCGCCUUCAUCAUAUUUGGAUAACUUGACUCCGCAUUCCACUGGCGUGCUUAUAGGCUUGCAAUCAUUCAUCUUGAACCUUUUGAGAAUCUCCUUUGCAUAGCUUUCUUGGGAGAUAAAUAUGCCUUCUUCUUUUUGCUUGACUUCAAUGCUGAGGUAAUAUGCCAUCAGUCCGAUGUCAGUCAUCUCGAACUCUUUGAUCGUCACUCUCUUGAACUCUUCAAACAAGCUUGGAUUACUUCCAGUGAAGAUGAGAUCAUUCACAUACAGGCACACAAUCAAAAUAUCUCCAUCUUUUUCUUUGACGUAGAAAGCAUGUUCAUAUGGGCAUUUGUGAAGCCUUUCUCUUAAAAAUACUUGUCAAUUCUGCUAUUCCAUGCCUUUGGUGCUUGCUUUAACCCGUAAAGAGCUUUCUUCAAUCUCAAAACUUUGUCUUCAUGUCCUUUCACCACAUAGCCUAAUGGUUGUUCGAUGUAAACUUCUUCUUCAAGGAAUCCAUUCAAGAAAGCAGACUUCACAUCCAUUUGAAAAAUCUUCCAUUUGUUCUGAACAGCCAAAGAAAUAAUAACUCUAAUAGUUUCAAGUCGAGCUACAGGAGCAAAUACCUCGUCAUAGUCUAUGCCAGCCUUUUGACUAUAGCCUUUUGCAACUAACCUCGCCUUAUGCCUUUCAAUUUCUCCCUUCGCAUUUCUUUUUGUUUUAUACACCCAUUUGACACCAAUCGCCUUGUGACCUUUUGGAAGAGUAGUAAGCUCCCAAGUAUCAUUCUUCACAAUGGCUUUGAUUUCUUCAUCCAUUGCAAUUCUCCACUUCUCAUCUAGUGCAGCUUUUUGGAAGUUGACUGGCUCACAAUCAACAAAGAGGCAAAAGAGAGUGAGAUUAUCAUGUCUCUCAGUUACCUCAUAGAGAUCUUGAAGACUCCUUAUACAUUCUUCGGUUCUUUCAUUUAAGAAAGACGGCGGUGAAUCUCCGCAUGUGGUUGAUGCUGGUGAGAUAGGUAGAGUGGCAGGCUCUUGUUGUUCGUCUACUUGUUUUAUCUAUGUAUGAUCAUCUUCUUAAAUGGGAAAGAAGUUGAAGUCAUCCACACCAGAGCCAAAAUCUCAUUCUCCUUCUUCAUCAAAAACUACAUCUCGACUGAUCACGAUCUUCCCGUUGUUUGGAUUGUAAAGCUUGUGUCCUUUGGAGUUGUUUUCGUAGCCGAUGAAGAUGAACUUCUCACUUUUGUCAUCCAACUUGGCUCUACUUUCGUCUGGUACAUGUACAUGAGCAAUGCUUCCGAAAACUCUUAGAUGGGUGAUGCCGGGUUUUCUUCCACUCCAAGUUUCUUGUGGCGUCUUGCCCCCACACGCUUCUUGUUGGAGAUCGAUUGGAAAAGUAGACUGCACAUGCAACAGCUUCAGCCCAAAAUUCUUUAAGUAGCCUCUUACUCUUAAGCAUGCUUCUUGCCAUAUCGAGGAUGGUUCUGUUCUUUCUUUCUACAACACCAUUUUAUUGGGGGGGAUCUUAGAACUGUCAAAGGACGUCGAAUUCCAUUUACUUCACAAAACUCUAAAAAUUCUUUGGAAGUGAACUCUCCACCUCAAUCAGAUCUCAUGGCUUUAAUCUGGUAUCCACUUUUUUUUUUCAACUGCAGCUUUAAACUUCUUGAAAGCUUCAAAGACUUCUGAUUUUUGCUUCAAAAAAUACACCCAAGUUUUUCUUGAAAAAUCAUCUAUGAAGAGAAGGAAGUAGUUACUUUUCCAAAGGAGUUUGGCUUGAAUGGACCGCACACAUCAGUAUGAAUGAGCUCGAGUGGUUUCUGAGCUCUUGAGUUUGACUCCUUUGGAAAGCUCUUUCUGAACUGCUUGCCAAGUAAACAUCCUUCACAAAGUUGAUCAGGGUGAUUGAUGUAUGGUAAGCCUUUCACCAUGUUCUUCUUAGAUAGUAGCUCCAGUCCUCCAAAGUUGAGAUGCCCAUAUCGAAGAUGCCAAGUUCAGGAUUGAUCUUUGUGACAGGCUUUGAGACAUUUUGCAACAUCAUUUUGAAUAUUUAAUGGAAACAUUCUAUUCUUCGACAUUUUCACCUUUGUAAUUAGAUUUCCUUUGUCAUCUCUUAGGAAAAGACUAUAAUCUUUUAAGUGAACAUCAUAGCCUUUUUCUAAAAGUUGACCUAAACUAAGAAUGUUGCUUUUCAUAUUGGGCACAUAGUAAACAUUCGAAAUUAUUUGGUGGCUACCAUCUUUUGCACGAAAAAGAAUGUUACCUCUACCUUUUACUGGUACUUUUGAAUCAUCUCCAAAAGCGACACUGCCAUUCACAGAUUCACUUAGUUGCACGGACAUGCUUCUAUUUCCACUCAUAUGAUUGCUAGCACCUGUGUCAAGAUACCAUGUAUUUUCUUGAUCUCCACUUGUGUCAUUGCGUGCUAGUAAAAGUGUGCCAUCUUCACCAUUUUUCUCUUCAGCAUAGUUCACUCUCUCAUCAAUUCUGGUGCUUGGAGCUCUGCAUUCUGAAGCAUAAUGCCCAAACUUUUGACAAUUAUAGCACUGUACUUGGGAUUUGUCAUACCUCGAUCUUAGAUUGCCUCUGCCUCGUCCUCUGGUUGAGCUUUCUCCUUUGGCAUAAUUUGAGUUGUUGUUGUUGAAAUUCGAACCUCGUCCAUGACCACGACCUCUACCUCGUCCUCGACCUCUACCUCGGACAUAGUGCCUUCUUUCGUUGUCGGAUUGACUUCCAUCUUGAGAAGUUGUUCUUCGAUUCCUUGCUUUUUUUUUUGUUUUUCUUCAUAGGCUUGCAACCUUCCUUGAAGUUGCUUGAUCGUCAUAUCCUCCAAAUCUCUUGUUUCUUCAAUUGUCACAACAAUAUGGUCAAACUUCGAGUCUACUGAUCAAAGUAUCUUUUCAAUGAUCCUUACCUCUUUUAACUCCUCGCCAUUUCUUUUUAAUUCAUUGGAAACGGUCACAACCCGAGUAAAGUAGUCAGAAAUUGACUCCGAUGCCUUCAUGUGUAAGGACUCAAAUUCUCCUCGUAAUGUUUGGAAACGAACCUUUUUAACUUGCUCUGCUCCUUUGUAAGAAGUCUCUAGUUUCUCCCAUACUUCUUUUGAGGAGGUUGUACCAGCAAUCUUUUCAAAAGAAUCUUCAUAUAAUGAUUGAAAGAUGAGAUAUUUUGCUUUAUUUUCUUUCUUCUUCAAGUCUUUUAAAUUCUCCUUCUGCGCCGCAGUUAAAGUGGCUUCAUUUUCUGGCACAAUAAAGCCUUUCUCCACGAUAUCCCAUACGUCAUGUGCGCCCAAUAGAGCCUUCAUUUUAAUACUCCAAUUGUCAAACUUACUUCCCUUUAAUUGUGGAACUUGAAAUGAAAUCAUACCACCGUUUGCCAUAACUCACAAAUUGAGUGAGAAUUUGGAGAUUCUGAAAGCACAGAUGGAUCUGGCACGUCGAAAAACCUUGGGAAUGACUCGAGUCAACUUUCGGUCAAUGGUCAACAGUCAAUGCUAGUCAACGGUCAACGUCGGGCAACGGUCAAUGCCGGCUUGGUAGUCUUGGUUCAGUCCGGAUUGGUUCAGCUCGAGUUGGCUCGGUUCGACUUGACUCGGUUCAGCUCGGCUCAGCUUGGUUCAGUUCGGCUCAGCUUGGUUCAACUCGGUGAGUCGACUUAGCGUCAGGACAGAAAACUUCCGGCGGCAAGUGUGGGCGCGUUGGGUCUCGGAUCCGGAUGAUUAUUGCGGCGUCACGUUCCUCUCUUCGAGAUCUUCGAUUUGAUAUGCUAUAUGACUAUAUAUAGCAUUAAACACUAACUCUGAUACCAUUUUGUUGGAGAAUUAACAAAUAAAACACACAAAAAACACACUAUUUUAUUUCUUCAACAACACUCCUCACCAAUUACAACUCUUAUUUUUCACUCUCUACACCUUAGAGAUUUUGCUACUUCACUUGAUGUUUAAACCAAAUGGGAGAGGAGGUAUUUAUACAUGAAACAAACUAAUCACAACCAUUCAUUUAUUCAACUAAUAAACAAAUCCUCACCAUCCAUUAAAACCUACCACUCACCUACUUCACCAACCAUACCUACUCAUGGAAUCUUCCAUGAGUUGGGCUUGAUUUAUUCAUCUUGGAUCAAGUUUAUGAUCCAACAGUUAUAUGGGUAUUUCAUUUAUUUGAGUAGGGGUUAGGGGUCAAUUGGAUACAAAUUCAAAAUUAUCCUUACUUGAGAUGGUGAUAAAAGUUGGGGAUUUAGUUUGGGUGUCAUUAGCUACAAAUAUUAAACUCAUACAUCUAAUUCAAAAUUAGAGGGCUGAUAUAUGUGCAUCCUCGUGCACAUUAUAGUGACACGUGUCACCAUCCAACAACCUAUCCAAUGAAAAAUUGACCUGCAUCUUGUGCGCUUCUGAUCAAAAUCCUGAAAAUUAAUCACAAAGUUAUACUUUUAUUAUAAAAAGAAUAAAGAAACUCCAAGAAAAAAAAAAGACUUACAUAAAUAGUUUGAGUAAUCUAGAUUCCAAGUUGUCUAUAUUAGCUUGAUCUUUUUAUAAAUAGUCAUCUUCGAAAAAAAAUUCCACCAAUAUAUAUUUUAAUUUUAUGUUAAUUAAUAAAUAGAAAAAAAAAUCAUUUUAGAAUUAAUUAAAACAUUAUUUAUUGUUGCCAAAAAAAGGAAGAAUUUAGUGAUAAGAAAAAAGUGUCUCAAAUAUACGUUAAAAAAAUUAAUCAUGGUGGGUUCGAUUGAUUGAAUUUUUUUUAUCUUUUUCUUUUUUAAGAAUUAAGACAAUUGGAUUGAUUGAGUAAUAAUAAAAUAUAUGUAUUUGGCAAAUGGCAGGGAGGCUUUCGUCUAAUGCAGAUUGAUUAGAGAGAAAAUAUAACAAUUUUAAGCUCGUCAGAUUCGAAGCUGCUUACUUGUCGUGUGGGGAUCACUUCCGUGUCUUAUUUUUCUAGAAAAAUCUUGAUCAUUGGAUUUCCCAUUAGUCAAUACAGAAAUGUUGAUCUUGAUUCUUGAUUAAGAUCGAAGUUUGAUUCUAACCAACAUGAUGUCAGAUUCAGAUUGCGAAGCAAGCAAAUUGAAAGUAACUUGUUCUAUUUUGAUAAACACAAGUUCUAAUAAAACAUUCUCAUAGUAAAGUGAAUUACCAUCCAACGAUCCAACUCAUGUUUUCAAAUUGUAAAUUGCAAAUCAUGUGUUUGCUCCAUUACAGCGUUUCUUCAAUCUGAAAUAGAGAAUCAUUUGUGUUCUGGAUUAAUCGUGGGUCUAUAUCCAAAUCUAAAAAUUGACUAACUUAAUUUCUAUUAAAUUCUUAAUCCUAACAAGAAAAAUUGAAGAUUAAAAACGACUAAUUUGGUACCAUACCACUAUUGUAACAUAGGUAGAUCCUCUAUUAAUUGGAGUAAAGAUUGAAUUAUCUCAUUUAUUACGGUUUAUCAAAAUCUUGUGUCAAAAUCUAUUAAUGAUAUAGGUUCAAGGAUGAAAGAGUCACUUCAUUACUUUUGAGUUCGCAAAUAGAUGAAUGGAUCUUAUUUUUAGAUUCCGGAGACAAGUUUAUUGGAAGAAACAAGUUUAUUGAUGUGAGGCCAUUGAGAUUGUAAGUUUUAAAUCUGAGAAGAAUACCCACACACCCAUUAUCCUAUUACUCUUAUAUCACAUGAAGAGAAUUCAACAUUUGAUUCACAAGGAAAAAAUUUGUGAGGAUUGUGAGGGUUGAUGGAAUAUAAUUUAGAUACAAAGUGUUUACCAGUGCGAUGCUUCGCAAGUGUUCUGGAAUCAAUAUAAACUCACAUUAUUUUCAUAGUGAUUGUUUCAUUUGCACGUGGAUAUAAUCACAUGUCGAGAUUUUUUUCCUUAAAUUAUGGUCUUAUUUAGUACCGAGGUGUUAUAUCUUUUAACGUACAAUUAUUGUUGGAAAAAAGUUGCAACUAUCAAAUAAAAUUAAUACUAUGUGCUAAAUAUAAUUGUUAAAUAAUAAUUUUGACAAAAUUAGUGAAGUUAUAUAGAUUUUUUUUUAUCAUCCAAGUAUAAAAUCAAAUCAACUUAACUUCUAAGUUAUAUAUCGGCUACUGUUUAUCAUAUGUUUUAGUUCUGUAACUUUUAAGUUAUAGUUACCCAACCUUAAUUCUAAACAAGACCUAUAAAGAUCAAAGAUUUCCUCAUUAAAUUAUAUGUCUUGUGAUUGCUUAUUUAAUUUAUAUUUUUGUUAUUUAUCUUUAUUAAUUAUAAUCAUCUUUUUAUAAAUUAAAAUUGAAGGAAGUUGAUUGAUGUUGUUGACACACACACACACACGCACGCACACACUCACAAAGAUAUAUUGGAAGUGCUUACGUUGACUCAAAGUUGUUGGGAAUUAAUGCAUGUAUUAAUUGAUUUAUUGGGAGUGUUUAAAUGAUUUUGUGAUUUACUUGAUUUAUUGAUUGAAUAUUGUUUGAUUGCUUCACAUCCAUUCUAGAAAGUUUAUUUCUUUGUGAAAUUUCAACGAAAUAUGUUUUUGUUUUUAAAUAAGGGUGUUCUAAAUAAUGUUAAAAAAUAUAUGGACUAAUUAGAAUUAAUUAUUAGGUAAUUAACUUAAUCUGUACAGGGUGAAACAACAUUUAUCCUAAUUAUAUCAUGAUAAAUACUUUUCCGAUUAGAAUUAGGAAAUCAUAGGUUUGUUGAAUUAUUAUUUUUAUUUUUCUUUGCAGAAACGGAUUAGAGAAUUAGAAAACAAUGUUGAUGUCAAAAUCUGAUCUAGUCGGUUAGCGACUUAAUAUCAUAUUACUGCACCAGCAUUAAAUUUAUUUGGUGGAGAAUCGGCUGGUCAAUUGUCAAGAUGUCCUGCAAUCACUAGCGAUUAACCUACGAAUACUUGAAAUCACAGAAGACGGUAAGAGGCACUGGAAGUUUUUUCAACGUGAACCUUCUGACGCUCAAGUCAGUUUAUAGGUUUACCAUAAUAAAAAUAAAUAAUUUCUAUUUAAAACAAAAAAUAGAGAUCAAAAGCUCAAAAAUAAAACCCAAUCCCAAUAUGAAGAAUAAUUUUUUUUUUUUAGCUUGGCCGAAUCCUUCUGCCUCCUAAAGAAACAUAACAGAGAAGUAGGUAGCCAUGUUCCCUAUGUAACGCCCCACUCCCAUCUUUUAUUCCUCCCCCUCUCUUCCGUUGCCUUCUUUUGCUCACUAUCCUUUAUAAUUUUUUAUGCUUGUCUUCCCAAAAUAGCCUUUGAAUACACAAGUAAAUGUCUAGGCUUUGGUGAGGAUAGUUUGGUCAUUGCAUUUUACAAGUAAGAUGACUGGUGGAGAAAAAUGAGGAGUGCACAAAACUCUUCAGCAAAUCCCACCAACAAUUCCAUUUUCUUAAUUAAUUAAUCUCCUUUUUUUAUCCCCAAACAAAUCCUAAUGAUACCAUUAUCAGGUUUAAAACAGUACACAAAUAGUGAAAAGCUAACUAGUCUGUAGAGUAAUUUGCUAAUUGCUAUCUCCUCUCUACGCGCGCUGAAUAAUUUGUUGCAUGCAAACUUUUUAUUUUAUGCAAAUCGUAUGUACUGUAACAUUGGAAUUGAUGGAUAAGCAAAAAUACAAGAAUAUUUAUGCCAAUAAAAAUAGUUUUUUUUUCCUUUUUAAAUAAACACAACGCGAUGUUGCUCUGCUCUACAUUUUUGCUAUCUCUUUAUUCUUUUUUUUUUUUUUUGGGCUUCUUAAAGCCUCAAACUUUGAUAACCAAAACUUCAUCGACCUAUGAAAAAAUCUGCAGAUUAGUUUUUAUUAUCGGAAUAAUUGUUUGAGAAUACUAAAACAAAAUAUAAAAUAAGAAAAUAGGGGGUUAAAUUAGAGGGGGAAAAAAGGCAUGUUCUAUCGAUUACUAUAGCUUAAGGGGAAAAAAAAAAUCAAUUGGGAAUUUUUUUCUUUAAUUUUUGUUUUACUUGAUAGAGAUUUCUCCUUAGUCCUUACAGUUUUAAGUUUGGAUGCCGUAGGGUUAGUAAUUUAGUAUUUCCCUUGCAAGCUGAGGUUAAGGAUGGAAUUUCUUUAAAGAAAUUAAAAAGGAUUAAAGAAAAGCAUACCAAUAGGUAAUUAUAAAUAACCAUAAAUAAACAUAAAAAAAAUGUUUAUGAAGUAAAUUACACAUGCACAUAUUAUUUUUUUGUUAUAUUUCUUACUUGUCUAUUUUAUUUGCUGCUUGAUAACCCUUAAAUACUAAUGUAUUAAAAAAGAUUACUCAAAAUGAUGACCACUGGCUUCGCACCAUUUAACCGGCAUACAUUUCUACAAAUUGAACAAGGCUAUUGAUUUUCAUUAUUUUUUUUUAUAAAUUACUAUUUUAAUUUUCACUUUUUAUUGGGUUGUUUAACGGAUUAGUGAAGUUGGUGGUCGUGAUGCACUCACAAGGUACAAUUUUAUUUUAUAAUUUCAAAUUUGUAUUUUAAAAUGCAGGUACAUUAUGUAUACAUAAUUAUUGAUUUUCAUAUGUGGGUGUUUUGAAAUAUUGCUAAAAGACCAAACUUUAAUAAACUAUUUUUCAUCUUUUUUUCCCUUUUUUCCUAAAGGUUGAGUGAUAUCCGCAUUUUAAAUUCAUGUGCUACAAAAGCUAAUGAAUGCACAAAAUUCUUUUAUUUUUUCCUAGAAAAAUGGUAAGAGAAGAAGAUUUUUCUCUUGAAAAAGAAAAACUAAUACGAUGCAAACAUAGGAAAGAGGUCAGUGUUUUGGAUUAGAAUUUAGUAUUGAGCUGAAUUUUAUACUAAACUCUUUUAUAGUACUGCGAUUAAUGAACUCAUGAUUUGCUUUUGCUUUUACUUCAAGUGAAAGAAAGAGGAAACCUUUUGUUUUUUGUUUGAUUCUUGACUAUAGAUGUUACCUAUAUAGAGAGUUGAGGUAGCUGCCUUAAGUGAUGGUGAUAAAAAGAUUAAGCAGCGCACACAAUCUUACUGUCGUCCAGACCAUCCAGCUGUGAUGGCUCUAGUUUUUUGGUUACAUUAGCUUUAGUGGAAAGGAGGGCCAAUUUAACAAAGACUAGAUUUGGUGGCUUACUAUAAUGCUUAUUCUCAAGGAAUCUAAUGUUAUAAGAUGAUUUAAUGAUCUUCUAUGAUUGUGAGUAGUAUAGUAUAAUUGAAAAGAGCCUGGGCUCCUAUGAUGAAUAUUUAAUAGUAACACAAUAUUGUGAUUGAAAAAAACACUGUUACAAUAAACUCUUCAUUUAUUCAUUGCGGAUAUUGAAUGGCAAACAGAGAAUAAAAUGAAGCAGAGGAAUCUCAUUGCUAGUAAAAUUGACCCUCUUUAAUGUUAUAUGGCACAGGUGUGUGUACAGCAAGAGCAAGUGACUUGCAGUUUUUUUUUGUAAAAUAUACAGGUUAUGACCAUGAUCAUUGUAGUUAGGUUUUGACGAUUUUAGAUGCUUUUUUUAUUUUUUUUAAAUUGUGACACCUUUGAUUUAUGGUAGUUUUGCAGAAGAAAAAAAUAUAUAUAAAAAUUAGGAAGAAUGAGUUAACUAACAAUUGCAAUCAUUACAGCAAUGUUGAUGAGUGAUACAUCAUUUGAAAUUUACUUGUCAGUUGCUAAAAUGAUGAAAAAAAACAAUAAACAAUAGCAGUAAUAUUUUUAUGGAAAUUCUUGGUUUUUAUGGAAAUACUCUUGCUGAAAUUCUAAUUUUGACUUUCAACUCUUGGUUUUUAUGGAAAGUAAAAUGACUUGUUUGUUAUAUUCAUACAAUCCACUCUACAUAAUGAUUUCAUUUUAAUAAAUGCUUGAUGAUCUCCACUGAAAAACUACUUCAAUUCUUUUGUUUUAUUUAACUUUUUGGUUGUUGAAAAUAGCCUUAAUUUUCAAAUAACGGGAGAAAGAGUAAAGAACAUUUAACAAAUUUAUGUGCCAAAAAUAAAGGAGAAAUUGAAGAGAAAGGGUGCUUGCAGAAGUGGGUGCAAAGAUAAAUCAGUCUAUAAGAAUUAUUGUGGUUAUUAAUUUUUUGGCAAUAUAAAAAAUUUUCAGCAAAUAAAAAUUGAUUUUUUCCAAUUUACUAAAAAAUUAAUUAAAAACUUUGGCGAUAGCAUUUUUUGUUGGUGCAUGUACCCUCCCUUUUAAAAAAAUAUAAUAAUUAAUACUUAAUAUAGUAUUAAAUACGAAAAUAUCAAAAUUUGACUACACAAAUUUAUAUCAUUAGGUCCUUAAAAUUUAAAAUUGAAGACAUAGAAUGAAAUAUAUAUAUAUAUAUAUAAAUUUUAUAAUCUUAAAAUAUUUGAGCUUUGAAAGAUUUUUUAAAACAAAUGUACUUUUAUUUUUGUACAAUCAAUAUUUACUUAUUUAUUAUAUUUUUAUUCAUUAACUAUCAAUUGUGUGAGUAUAUCUACUUAGAAAUAUCAUAUCAAGGGAGAAUCUUGAUCCCACGUACACGCAAAUAUGUUAAUUUCUAUACGCUUCACUUACCUGUAGAAUCAAUUAUCUAAAAUGCAAGUUUGUGGCCACAAAAAAGGCCAAAGAAAGAAGAUAAUAACAAUUGACUUGUAUAUUAUACUCAUACAAUCCACUCGACAUAAUGAUAUCAUUUUAAUAAGGCAAUGGCUGAUGAUCUCCAUUGAAAAACUAAUUCAUUUUUUUUGCUUCAUUUAACUUUUUGGUUGUUGAAAAUAACCUUAAUUAUCAAAUAAUUGGAGAAAGAGUAAAGAACAUUUAACAAAUUUAUGUGCAAAAAAAAAAGGAGAAGUUGAAGAGAAAGGGUGCUUGCAGAAGUGGGUGUCAAAGAAAAAUCGGUCCAUAAGAAUUAUUGCGGUUAUUUUUUCGCAAUAUAAAAUUUUUAUAGCGUGUAAAAAUUAAUUUUUUUUCCGAUUUACUAAAAAAUUAACUAAAAACUUCUGCGACAGCAUUUUUUAUGGGUGCAUAUACCCUCCCUUUAAAAAAAUAAUAAUAAUUAAUGCUUAAUAUAGUAUUAAAUACGAAAAUAUCAAUAUUUGACAACUCAAAUUUAUAUCAUUAGGUCCUUAAAAUUUAAAAUUGAAGACACGAAAAGAAAUAUAUAAAAAUUUCAUUCUCAUGGAAAGGAUUCUCUUAUAAUCUUAUAAUAUUUGAGUUUUGAAAUUUUUUUGAAACAAAUGUAAUUUUAUUUGUGUACAAUCAAUAUUUACUUAUUUAUUAUAUUUUAAUUUAUUAACUAUCAAUCAUGUAAGUAUAUUUAGUCAGAAAAAUUAUAUCAAGAGAGAAUUCUAAUUUCACACAAACACAAAUACAAGACAAAUAUGUCAAUUUCUAUACUAUUCACUUUCCUGUAGAAUCAAUUAUCUAAAAUGGAAGUUUGUGGCUACAGAAAACUCGCCAAAGAAAGAAGAUAAUAACAAUUGAGCAUUGAUAGCAAAACUAAUGCAUCAUUUUCUUCUUGACUUGAUGAGAUGGCGCCAUCACAAAAAAACAAGUACCUUAAUUGACGGGCACUGAGUGAUGUGAAUACUACCAGCCAGUUCAUCUCUUCCAGUCUUGCUUAAUCACAAUCACAAACACCACGAGAUUGACAUUUGCAUUAUAUAUAUGUUCAGCAAUCGAAACACCUUGCAUUACCAAAUUAACCGCUAACAAACAAAGCAAUCUUUCAGGGAGAGAAACUUUAGUCUCAGUAUGAUCACUGUGUCAUUAACCCACUUCCUGCUUCUUUGCUUGGUUGUUGUAGCAGCAGCAGCAGCAAGCAACAAUAUUACCACAGACCAACAAGCUCUUCUUGCCCUGAAAGAUCAUAUAAUUUAUGAUCCGACCAACCUUUUAGCCCAUAAUUGGACCUCGAAUACAUCUGUUUGUACCUGGAUUGGCAUCACUUGUGAUGUCAAUAGCCAUAGAGUCGCAGCCUUAGAUAUUUCUCAAUUCAAUCUACAAGGCACCAUCCCUCCUCAACUUGGAAACCUCUCUUCACUCACAACGCUUAAUCUUAGUCAUAACAAGCUUUCUGGAAACGUUCCCUCCUCCAUCUACACAAUGCAUACGCUAAAAUUUCUUGACUUCACUGAUAACCAGCUCUCUGGUUCGGUGUCUUCCUUCGUCUUCAACAUGUCUUCAAUAGUAGAAAUUCGUUUGACCAAUAACAGAUUUUCUGGUGAGCUUCCGAAAAAUAUUUGCAACUAUCUUCCUCAUUUGAAAGCCCUUUUUUUGGACAAAAACAUGUUUCAUAGCAAAAUUCCUUCUGCUUUAUCAAAGUGCAAACAACUGCAACAAUUAAAUUUGCAGUUCAAUAAUUUAUCCGGUGCAAUACCAAAAGAAAUCGGCAACUUGACUAUGCUCAAAGGGAUAUCUCUAUUAUGCAACAAACUCCACGGUAUGUUCAUAAUACUAUGUAAAUAUUUUAAUUUCUCACUUGUUAUUUUUCUUGAAUACUUUAGAUAAGAUCUUGUAACAGAGAUUUUUUUGCAUCUAUGUUAAUUUGCCAGGUGAGAUACCCCACGAAAUCGCUAAUCUUCGAAAUCUAGAGGGUUUAGUGCUUGGAAUGAACAACCUAGUUGGUGUGUUACCAGCUCCAAUCUUCAACAUGUCAACACUGAAGGUACUUAUCCUCAUGGAUAACUCUCUCAGUGGAAGUCUACCAUCAAGAAUAGACCUUUCACUUCCAACUGUUGAGUUUCUUGAGUUGGCACAUAAUAGAUUUUCUGGAACCAUUCCUAGUUCCAUCACCAAUGCUUCUAAGCUCACCGUUCUAGCGUUGGGAGAGAACACAUUUUCGGGCUUCAUUCCAAACACAAUUGGUAAUUUAAAAAACCUUGAGUGGCUCAGCUUGGAGAAUAAUUACUUGAAAUCUUCAACCUCAAAAUUGAGCUUUCUUUCCUCUUUGGCAAAUUGCAAGAAAUUAAGAUUCUUAAACUUAGGAGGCAAUCCACUCGACGGUAUCCUUCCAAGUUCAAUAGGUAAUCUUUCUAAGUCUUUGGAAACACUUGUCAUCGCCAAUUGCAGUAUUAGUGGCAACAUUCCGGAAGCAAUUAGCAAUUUAAGCAACUUGUUGACCUUAGUAUUAGAACGCAAUAAAUUGACUGGACCAAUUCCAAUUACAUUCGGCCCACUACAGAAACUCCAAGGCUUAUAUCUUGCAUUCAAUAUGUUGGUAGGUUCAUUCCCAGAUGAGCUUUGCCAUCUAGGUAGGCUGAAUGAAUUGGUCUUAUUUGGCAAUAAGCUUUCAGGAUCUAUACCUUCAUGCUUAAGUAACCUCACUUCUCUGAAAUCUCUCUACUUAGGGUCCAAUAGGUUUACUUCUGUUAUUCCCUCAACCUUCUGGAGCCUAAAAUACAUCUUGUUCUUUGACUUUUCAUCAAAUUUCUUGGUGGGUCCUCUUUCUUCAGACAUAGGUAAUUUGAAGGUGCUUCUAGGAAUAAAUUUAUCAGAAAAUAACUUAUCGGGUGAUAUGCCAGCCACAAUUGGAGGACUAAAAAACCUUCAAAUUAUGGACCUAGCAUAUAAUAGAUUGGAAGGCCCAAUUCCUGAAUCAUUUGGUGACUUGACAAGUUUGGAGGUUUUGAAUUUGUCAAAUAAUAAAAUCUCCGGGUCUAUUCCAAAAUCCUUGGGGAAACUCUUUUACCUCCGAGAGUUAAAUCUCUCUUUCAAUGAACUAGAAGGUGAGAUUCCUAGUGGAGGAAUUUUUGCCAACUUCACAGCUGAGUCAUUUAUGGGAAAUGAGUUAUUGUGUGGUUUACCAAAUCUUCAAGUCCAACCAUGCAAAGUUAGCAAGCCGAGGACAGAACAUAAAUCAAGGAAAAAGAUACUUCUCAUUGUGAUUGUUUUGCCAUUGAGUAUUGCUCUAACGAUAGCAAUCACUCUAGCUCUCCAAUCUAAGCUGAUCGAAUGUGGAAAAAGAAGCACGGUGUUAUCAAAUGAUAGUAUCUUGUCAUCACAAGCAACACUAAGAAGAUUUUCAUACUUAGAACUUUUACGAGCAACAGAUAAUUUUGCUGAAAACAGCAUAAUUGGCAGAGGAGGUUUUGGUUCCGUUUAUGGAGCAAGACUUGAAGAUGGGAUGAAGAUUGCAAUAAAAGUGUUUCACCAGCAAUGUGCAAGCGCAUUGAAGAGUUUUGAGGCUGAAUGUGAAGUGUUAAAAAAUAUUCGCCAUCGAAACCUUAUCAAAGUUAUCAGCAGUUGCUCGAACGAUGACUUCAAAGCAUUAGUCCUAGAAUACAUGUCCAACGGGAGCUUGGGGGAUUGGUUGCAUUCGAGCAAUUACGUGCUGAAUAUUUUUCGAAGGUUGAACAUAAUGAUUGACUUUGCAUCAGCUUUAGAAUAUCUCCACUUCGAUCAUUCAACUCCUGUUAUUCAUUGUGACUUAAAGCCUAGUAAUGUAUUGUUGGACGAAAAUAUGGUUGCUCAUUUGAGUGAUUUUGGCAUAGCAAAGCUUUUAAGUGGAGAAGAUGAGUCUACGAUGCGAACAAAAACCCUUGCCACUAUAGGUUAUAUGGCACCAGGUUUGCUUCAAACAACUUUUUUUGUUGGUGCAUGUACCCUCCCUUUAAAAAAUAUAUAAUAAUUAAUACUUAAUAUAUUAUUAAAUACGAAAAUAUCAAUAUUUGACUACACAAAUUUAUGUCAUUAGGUCCUUAAAAUUUAAAAUUGAAGACACAAAAUGAAAUAUAUAUAUAAAUUUCAUUCUCAUAGGAAAUGAUCCUCUUAUAAUCUUAAAAUAUUUGAGCUUUGAAAGAUUUUUUAAAACAAAUGUACUUUUAUUUUUGUACAAUCAAUAUUUACUUAUUUAUUAUAUUUUUAUUCAUUAACUAUCAAUCAUGUGAGUAUAUUUACUCAGAAAUAUCAUAUCAAGGAAGAAUCUUGAUCCCACGCACACGCAAAUAUGUUAAUUUCUAUACGCUUCACUUACCUGUAGAAUCAAUUAUCUAAAAUGCAAGUUUGUGGCCACAAAAAAGGCCAAAGAAAGAAGAUAAUAACAAUUGACUUGUAUAUUAUACUCAUACAAUCCACUCGACAUAAUGAUAUCAUUUUAAUAAGGCAAUGGCUGAUGAUCUCCAUGACUCCAUUGAAAAACUAAUUCAAUUUUUUUUGCUUCAUUUAACUUUUUGGUUGUUGAAAAUAACCUUAAUUAUCAAAUAAUUGGAGAAAGAGUAAAGAACAUUUAAAAAAUUUAUGAGCAAAAAAAAAAGGAGAAGUUGAAGAGAAAGGGUGCUUGCAGAAGUGGGUGUCAAAGAAAAAUCAGUCCAUAAGAAUUAUUGCGGUUAUUUUUUGGCAAUAUAAAUUUUUUAUAGCAAGUAAAAAUUAAUUUUUUUCCGAUUUACUAAAAAAUUAACUAAAAACUUCUGCGACAACAUUUUUUAUGGGUGCAUAUAGCCUCCCUUUAAAAAAAUAAUAAUAAUUAAUGCUUAAUAUAGUAUUAAAUACGAAAAUGUCAAUAUUUGAUUACUCAAAUUUAUAUCAUUAGGUCCUUAAAAUUUAAAAUUAAAGAUACGAAAGGAAAUAUAUAUAAAUUUCAUUCUCAUGGAAAGGAUUCUCUUAUAAUUUUAUAAUAUUUGAGUUUUGAAAUUUUUUUGAAACAAAUGUAAUUUUAUUUGUGUACAAUCAAUAUUUACUCAUUUAUUAUAUUUUAAUUUAUUUAUUAUAUUUAGUCGGAAAAAUUAUAUCAAGAGAGAAUCCUAAUUUCACGCAAACACAAAUACAAGACAAAUAUGUUAAUUUCUAUACUAUUCACUUUCCUGUAGAAUCAAUUAUCUAAAAUGCAAGUUUGUGGCUACAGAAAACUCGCCAAAGAAAGAAGAUAAUAACAAUUGAGCAUUGAUAGCAAAACUAAUGCAUCAUUUUCUUCUUGACUUGAUGAGAUGGCGCCAUCACAAAAAAACAAGUACCUUAAUUGACGGGCACUGAGUGAUGUGAAUACUACCAGCCAGUUCAUCUCUUCCAGUCUUGCUUAAUCACAAUCACAAACACCUCGAGAUCGACAUUUGCAUUAUAUAUAUGUUCAGCAAUCGAAACACCUUGCAUUACCAAAUAAACCAGUAACAAACAAAGCAAUCUUUCAUGGAGAGAAACUUUAGUCUCAGUAUGAUCACUGUGUCAUUAACCCACUGCCUGCUUCUUUGCUUGGUUGUUGCAGCAGCAGCAGCAGCAGCAGCAAGCAACAAUAUUACCACAGACCAACAAGCUCUUCUUGCCCUGAAAGAUCAUAUAAUUUAUGAUCCGACCAACCUUUUAGCCCAUAAUUGGACCUCGAAUACCUCUGUUUGUACCUGGAUUGGCAUCACUUGUGAUGUCAAUAGCCAUAGAGUCACAGCCUUAGAUAUUUCUCAAUUCAAUCUACAAGGCACCAUCCCUCCUCAACUUGGAAACCUCUCUUCACUCACAACACUUAAUCUUAGUCAUAACAAGCUUUCUGGAAGCGUUCCCUCCUCCAUCUACACCAUGCAUAGGCUAAAAUUUCUUGACUUCACUGAUAACCAGCUCUCUGGUUCGGUGUCUUCCUUCGUCUUCAACAUGUCUUCAAUAUUAGACAUUCGUUUGACCAAUAACAGACUUUCUGGUGAGCUUCCGAAAAAUAUUUGCAACUAUCUUCCUCAUUUGAAAGCCCUUUUUUUGGACAAAAACAUGUUUCAUAGCAAAAUUCCUUCUGCUUUAUCAAAGUGCAAACAACUGCAACAAUUAAAUUUGCAGUUCAAUAAUUUAUCCGGUGCAAUACCAAAAGAAAUCGGCAACUUGACUAGGCUCAAAGGGAUAUAUCUCGGCGCCAACAAACUCC